UCCCCAGACUGUUCAGAGACUUCAAGGG
RNAcentral lists this non-coding RNA (28 nucleotides) under Homo sapiens (human). Lineage: Eukaryota; Metazoa; Chordata; Mammalia; Primates; Hominidae. The record is from RNAcentral.